This is a non-coding RNA of Ixodes scapularis (black-legged tick), 180 nucleotides long. NCBI's taxonomy places the organism in Eukaryota, Metazoa, Arthropoda, Arachnida, Ixodida, Ixodidae. The record is from Rfam.
CGACACACUCUGCAAUGGCCUCCGGUCGGUGUUGAUGCAAUGUGAUCUCUGCCCAGUGCUCUGAAUGUCAACGUGAGGAGAUUCAUCAAAGCGCGAAUAAACGGCGGGAGUAACUAUGACUCUCUUGGUGCCCCUUGUUUACGUACCGCCAUACCAGGUAUGGCACUGCAUAGAUUGUUG